This is an unclassified non-coding RNA of Macaca fascicularis (crab-eating macaque), 117 nucleotides long. It matches the Rfam family "Metazoan signal recognition particle RNA". Rfam says of the family: The signal recognition particle (SRP) is a universally conserved ribonucleoprotein. It is involved in the co-translational targeting of proteins to membranes. Lineage: Eukaryota; Metazoa; Chordata; Mammalia; Primates; Cercopithecidae. The record is from Ensembl.
GCCGGGUGUGGUGGCUCACGCCUGUAAUCCCGGCACUUUGGGAGGCUGAGGCGGGUGGAUCACCUGAGGUCAGGACUUCGAGACCAGCCUGGCCAACAUGGUGAAACCCCAUCUCUA